CACGGCGUGCUUUGGAGAGCUUUCGGAUAGCAGGAGCAGGGGAAUCAUAAUCCCUUGGUCGGGGGUUCAAAUCCCUCCGCUGCUACCA
Molecule: transfer RNA, 88 nt
Filed under: Azospirillum lipoferum 4B
Lineage: Bacteria; Pseudomonadati; Pseudomonadota; Alphaproteobacteria; Rhodospirillales; Azospirillaceae
Description: tRNA-Met (CAT) (tRNA-Met-CAT-3-1)
Source: RNAcentral